ACCUGGAUAGCUCAGUUGGUUAGAGCAUGGUGCUCACAAUGCAAAGGUUGCUGGUUCGAUCCUGGUACGGGACA
This 74-nucleotide transfer RNA is filed under the name Podarcis lilfordi (Lilford's wall lizard). Its description in RNAcentral is "tRNA.Val". Lineage: Eukaryota; Metazoa; Chordata; Lepidosauria; Squamata; Lacertidae. The record is from RNAcentral.